GAACAUCAAGCAUUUUCUCUUUUUUUUUUCUUGACAGGCAGAGUGGAUAGUGAGAGACAGAGAGAAAGGUCUUCCUUUUGCCGUUGGUUCACCCUCCAAUGGCCGCCACGACUGGCGCGCUGCGGCCGGCGCACCGCACUUAUCCGAAGGCAGGAGCCAGGUGCUUCUCCUGGUCUCCCAUGGGGUGCAGGGCCCAAGGACCUGGGCCAUCCUCCACUGCACUCCCGGGCCACAGCAGAGAGCUGGCCUGGAAGAGGGGCAACCGGGACAGAAUCUGGUGCCCCGACUGGGACUAGAACCCGGUGUGCCAGUGCCGCAAGGCGGAGGAUUAGCCUAGUGAGCCAUGGCGCCGGCCAGAUUUUCUCUUCAUUUGGUGGAAUGGAGCUCCAUCUCACAGAAUAAUUUUAUGGGGACUGGUGCCAUGGCAUAGCGGAUAAAGCUGCUGC
This 446-nucleotide long non-coding RNA is filed under the name Oryctolagus cuniculus (rabbit). Its description in RNAcentral is "lncRNA (ENSOCUG00000038964.1)". The record is from RNAcentral. Lineage: Eukaryota; Metazoa; Chordata; Mammalia; Lagomorpha; Leporidae.